CACGUAGGCGGCGAAGCAAGUCGGGUGUGAAAGCCCUGGGCUCAACCCAGGAAGUGCAUUCGAAACUAUUUCGCUUGAAUCUCGGAGGGGGUCAGAGAAUUCCCGGUGUAGAGGUGAAAUUCGUAGAUAUCGGGAGGAAUACCAGUGGCGAAGGCGCUGACCUGGACGAAGAUUGACGCUGAGGUGCGAAAGCGCGGGGAGCAAACAG
This 208-nucleotide ribosomal RNA is filed under the name uncultured delta proteobacterium. RNAcentral's name for it is "partial 16S ribosomal RNA". It matches the Rfam family "Bacterial small subunit ribosomal RNA", at positions 568 to 775 of the family's 1533-position model. The record is from RNAcentral. Lineage: Bacteria; Deltaproteobacteria.